This 212-nucleotide ribosomal RNA is filed under the name uncultured bacterium. Its description in RNAcentral is "partial 16S ribosomal RNA". It matches the Rfam family "Bacterial small subunit ribosomal RNA", at positions 9 to 223 of the family's 1533-position model. The record is from RNAcentral.
GAGUUUGAUCCUGGCUCAGAUUGAACGCUGGCGGCAUGCCUUACACAUGCAAGUCGAACGGCAGCACGGGAGCAAUCCUGGUGGCGAGUGGCGAACGGGUGAGUCAUAUAUCGGAACGGGUCCAUGAGUGGGGGAUAGCCCGGCGAAUGCCGGAUUAAUACCGCAUAAGACCUGAUGGUGAAACCGGGGGAUCUUCGGACCUCCCGCUGAUG